CCUUGUGUAUCCUGCCAGUAGUCAUAUGCUUGUCUCAAAGAUUAAGCCAUGCAUGUCUAAGUAUAAGCACUAGUACUGUGAAACUUCGAAUGGCUCAUUAAAUUAGCUCUCGUUUAUUUGAUUGUACCGUUACUACUUGGAUAACGGUAGUAAUUCUAGAGGUUACAGUUGCGGAAAGUCCCGACUGUCUUCGGAAGGGAUAUAUUUAUUAGAGUAAAAACCAAUGCAGAUUUUGCCCGGUGUUGUGGUGAAUCAUAGUAACUAAUCGAGUCGCACUGCCUCUCCGCUGGCGAUGUUUCAUUGAAAUAUCUACCCCAUCAACUGUCGAUGGUAAGGUAGUGGCUUACCAUGGUUGCAACGGGUGACAAAGAAUUAGGGUUCGAUUCCGGAGAGGGAGCCUGAGAAACGGCUACCACAUCCAAGGAAGGCAGCAUGCGCGCAAAUUACCCCAUUCUGACUCACGGAGGUAGUGACAAGAUAUAACAAUACAAGGCUUUUGCAAGUCAUGUAAUUGGAAUGAAUAUAACCUAAAUCCUUUAACGAGGAUCCAUUGGAGGGUAACUCUGUUGCCAGAAACCGCGGUAGUUCCAGCUCCUAUAGCGUAUAUUAAAGUUGUGGCAGUUAAAAAGCCCCUGAUUGGAUCUUGGGAUAGCCCGGCCGCUCUGCCCCAAGGCAGGUUACUGGCCGAGCUUUUCCUCCUCGCAGAGACUGAGUGUGCUCUUACCUGAGUGUGCUCGGGGUCUGGGACGUUUACUUUGAAAAAAUUAGAGUGUUCAAAGCAAGCAAGUGCGGGAAUACGUAGGCAUGGAAUAAUGGAAUAGGACUUUGGUUCUAAAAGGACGUAAAGACAGCAGAGUGACAAUAACUCUCAAAAAAGAAACAACUUUGAAUUUAGAUUUACAGGACAUGUUUUGACAUCAAAAGAUACAAACUCUCAACAUCGAAAGAUAAGAUCAACUUUUCUAAGGUUGAUAACUGCUUGAUUUCAUGUACAAAAGAAAACGUGUCGCGGACGUUCUAUUCACGCGCGACAUGUGGCUCUAGCAGAUUACAAAGGAUUUUAGAUAAAUUGUAAAUGUAGGUACCUAUUGAAGAUACUAUGGGUCGAAAUGGAGGUCUUUCAUUAGGCUUCCGAGCCUUGUGCAUUUUAGGUAGCCCAUAAAACCUGGCUGGUUGAGAACCAGUUGGAUAGAUUCUCUCACACGUAUCUUUGUCUAAGUGGCCCUUAUUUUUAUGCGCUCUUAAAAAACGUUAUAAUUUACCCUCCCUUUGUAAUGUAGGAUCGUUAUCAUUAACCUUAAACUUAGAAGUGUCUCUGAUAAUGGAAAAAAUACUUUCUUCGUGGGCUUUCCUGUCCAUGAAUACUAAGCCAUUUCGUUUGUCAGGCUUCAGUAUUACAAUGUCCUUGUUCUUCCUCAAAUCCUUUAGUAUCCUACAUUUCUUUAAGUCCGCUGCAGAAGGUUGGUGGGAAGAAACGUACGAAUGGGCAAGAU
This 1493-nucleotide ribosomal RNA is filed under the name Stylophora pistillata. RNAcentral's name for it is "bacterial SSU rRNA". The stretch from base 2 to 987 matches the Rfam family "Eukaryotic small subunit ribosomal RNA", at positions 4 to 1116 of the family's 1831-position model. Lineage: Eukaryota; Metazoa; Cnidaria; Anthozoa; Scleractinia; Pocilloporidae. The record is from RNAcentral.